GACGAACGCUGGCGGCGUGCUUAACACAUGCAAGUCGAACGGUGAAGGGAUCAGCUUGCUGGUUCUGGAUGAGUGGCGAACGGGUGAGUAACACGUGAGUAACCUGCCCCCUUCUUCUGGAUAACCGCAUGAAAGUGUGGCUAAUACGGGAUAUUCUGGGUCUGUCGCAUGAUGGGUCUGGGAAAGAUAUUGUUUCGGUGGGGGAUGGGCUCGCGGCCUAUCAGCUUGUUGGUGGGGUGAUGGCCUACCAAGGCGGUGACGGGUAGCCGGCCUGAGAGGGUGGACGGUCACACUGGGACUGAGACACGGCCCAGACUCCUACGGGAGGCAGCAGUGGGGAAGAUUGCACAAUGGGCGCAAGCCUGAUGCAGCGACGCCGCGUGAGGGAGGGAGGCCUUCGGGUUGUAAACCUCUUUCGCCAGUGAAGCAGGCCUGCUCCUUGUGGGUGGGUUGACGGUAGCUGGAUAAGAAGCGCCGGCUAACUACGUG
RNAcentral lists this ribosomal RNA (489 nucleotides) under uncultured bacterium. Its description in RNAcentral is "partial 16S ribosomal RNA". It matches the Rfam family "Bacterial small subunit ribosomal RNA", at positions 28 to 507 of the family's 1533-position model. The record is from RNAcentral.